RNAcentral lists this long non-coding RNA (691 nucleotides) under Populus tremula. Its description in RNAcentral is "long non-coding RNA (PTRE_LNC001465)". Lineage: Eukaryota; Viridiplantae; Streptophyta; Magnoliopsida; Malpighiales; Salicaceae. The record is from RNAcentral.
GCAUGACCUGCAACAAUCAAAGACGCACAUAACACUUGAUUUUACUUUGUUUUUUUUCUUUUAGAUCAGUUUCGUUUUUUCUUUUUUAGAUCUGCAAUCAAAUCCUUCUAUUCCUGGUGGCUAGUCCUUCCUUCUUCAGAUGGCGGCUCUGUCGGAGGCGGGAGCGUUGGAAGUCGGAGCCACGAGUGGCGGUGGCUGCCGAUCUGUGGACGACGCUGCUGUGGCUGGUCUGUCGGUACUGUUGAAGCUGGGUCGGCCGAGAGAGGGGAGGACGCUGGAGGUGGCUGAGAAAGCAGAGGACGAAGGAGCGGCGCUGCUGUGGUGGACGGCGCUGCUUCGCCGUUGCUGUUGAGGGAGGAGAAGGCUGGUCUCCGUCCGGUUCGCCUUUUGCUCCUGCAACUGAGAAGGUAAAGGGGUUGUUGUGGUCCAAAGGCUAAAGGAAAAUGGGGGAAAGAGGAGUGAAAUUAAGGGCUGUGUCGAUGGCUCUGUGUUGAUGAAUGGUGGCGGCUUCUUCGUGGGCUGAGUUUGGCUGGCGAGAAGAAGGAGAACCGUGGGGAGCUCCAGUGAAGAAGAAGAAGAGAAAAGCUUAAGAGGGCGGUCCGGUGAGGAGAAACAAUUCAAACCCCGGGGAGGCGGCUGUGUUUUGUUUUUUUCAAAGAGAGGAGGGGGCUGCAGCUCCACAAGAAAAUCC